Molecule: ribosomal RNA, 186 nt
Filed under: Triticum aestivum (bread wheat)
Lineage: Eukaryota; Viridiplantae; Streptophyta; Magnoliopsida; Poales; Poaceae
Description: partial small subunit ribosomal RNA
Source: RNAcentral
CAUGAGCGUGAAAGAGGUUCAAGAAUCCGUUUUCUUUUUCUAAGGGCUAAAAUCACUUAUUUUUUUUUUGCUUUUUGACCCCAUAUUGUAGGGUGGAUCUCGAAAGAGAGGAAAGAUCUCCCUCCAAGCCGUACAUACGACUUUCAUCGAAUACGGCUUUCCACAGAAUUCUAUAGGGAUCUAUGA